UGGGGAAUUUGGACAAUGGGCGAAAGCCUGAUCCAGCAAUGCCGCGUGUGUGAAGAAGGCCUUCGGGUUGUAAAGCACUUUUGUCCGGAAAGAAAUCCUUGGCUCUAAUACAGUCGGGGGAUGACGGUACCGGAAGAAUAAGCACCGGCUAACUACGUGCCAGCAGCCGCGGUAAUACGUAGGGUGCAAGCGUUAAUCGGAAUUACUGGGCGUAAAGCGUGCGCAGGCGGUUUGCUAAGACCGAUGUGAAAUCCCCGGGCUCAACCUGGGAACUGCAUUGGUGACUGGCAGGCUAGAGUAUGGCAGAGGGGGGUAGAAUUCCACGUGUAGCAGUGAAAUGCGUAGAGAUGUGGAGGAAUACCGAUGGCGAAGGCAGCCCCCUGGGCCAAUACUGACGCUCAUGCACGAAAGCGUGGGGAGCAAACAGGAUUAGAUACCCUGGUAGUCCACGCCCUAAACGAUGUCAACUAGUUGUUGGGGAUUCAUUUCCUAGUAACGUAGCUAACGCGUGAAGUUGACCGCCUGGGGAGUACGGUCGCAAGAUUAAAAC
RNAcentral lists this ribosomal RNA (550 nucleotides) under uncultured bacterium. RNAcentral's name for it is "partial 16S ribosomal RNA". It matches the Rfam family "Bacterial small subunit ribosomal RNA", at positions 356 to 900 of the family's 1533-position model. The record is from RNAcentral.